UACGUAGGCUCCAAGCGUUGUUCGGAAUUACUGGGCGUAAAGCGAGUGUAGGCGGUCUGCCAAGUCGAUUGUGAAAUCUCCCGGCUCAACUGGGAGGGUGCGGUCGAAACUGACAGACUCGAGUUCGGGAGGGGAGAGUGGAAUUCCUGGUGUAGCGGUGAAAUGCGUAGAUAUCAGGAGGAACAUCGGUGGUGAAGACGGCUCUCUGGACCGAUACUGACGCUGAGACUCGAAAGCGUGGGGAGCAAACAGG
RNAcentral lists this ribosomal RNA (253 nucleotides) under uncultured bacterium. Its description in RNAcentral is "partial 16S ribosomal RNA". It matches the Rfam family "Bacterial small subunit ribosomal RNA", at positions 524 to 776 of the family's 1533-position model. The record is from RNAcentral.